RNAcentral lists this ribosomal RNA (325 nucleotides) under uncultured bacterium. Its description in RNAcentral is "bacterial SSU rRNA". It matches the Rfam family "Bacterial small subunit ribosomal RNA", at positions 155 to 507 of the family's 1533-position model. The record is from RNAcentral.
AAGUCGGGCUAAUACCGCAUGUGAUCCUUCGGGAUUAAAGCCUUCGGGGCGCUAAAAGGGAGGGGCCUGCGUCUGAUUAGCUUGUUGGUAAGGUAAUGGCUUACCAAGGCGAUGAUCAGUAGCUGGUUCGAGAGGAUGAUCAGCCACACUGGAACUGAGAUACGGUCCAGACUCCUACGGGAGGCAGCAGUAAGGAAUCUUCCGCAAUGGACGAAAGUCUGACGGAGCAACGCCGCGUGCAGGAUGAAGGCUUUCGGGUCGUAAACUGCUUUUGUAUGGGAAGAUUAUGACGGUACCAUACGAAUAAGGACCGGCUAACUACGUG